Molecule: long non-coding RNA, 899 nt
Filed under: Homo sapiens (human)
Lineage: Eukaryota; Metazoa; Chordata; Mammalia; Primates; Hominidae
Description: non-protein coding HOXA11-AS:20
Rfam family: HOXA11 antisense RNA 1 conserved region 6 (bases 430-608)
Source: RNAcentral
AUCCCACCUUCUGUCCUUGGAGAAACUCCCUCCUCCUCGCUGCCUGCCGGGCUUCGGAGUGACUCGGCAGAGACAGAGGCACAGGGGCUGCCCUGCUGCUCACCGGUCCACCCAUCUGCCUGGUCUUCUGGAGCUGAGGACUCGGGAAACCAUGCAAUUGAGGCAAGCCUUGGGCUGCUUUAGAGGCGCUGACAUCCGAGGAGACUUCUCCUGGGAGGUCCAACAGCCGAGCUUAGCCCACCGGGCUCUGGGAAAGACCCGACUGAGGCUAAAGCCGCCCCGGAAGGCCAAGUCCGAGUUCCAUUUCUUGAAGAGGCCGGCGCGCGUAAGGCUGUGACAUUGGCCCUGGCGACUGGCUUCCCAGGAGCUGUUCUUUCUCAGGAGCUCCACAGCGCGGGCCAUCUCCAGAAAACUGUCUUCAGAGUGUAUUUCCUUUUAUCGUCAACCCAGAGCCCCACCGCGGCUAAUGCAAGAGGCCAAAAAAUGUUUGGAGGAAGAAAAACAAAGGCAGGAAGUGGCGGCGGCCUGACGGUGCGUGUGUGUCUGCAGAGAAGGGAGGGAGCCGGCUCAGUCUCUUCUUGUUUUUCCAAACUUCAAGGUCCAGGCAGCCCUCUGCAGGGCCGGGCCCCAUUGCUCCCCGCGCGGCAUUGGAGGUGGCCGCCCGGAGAGGAGAAGGCCAACGCCUGCGCCAGGCUUGUCAGGCGGAAACGGCUAACAAGGAGAUUUGGUCAGCAAAACAGACCCAGCCUUUCCGAGGCUUCGUCUGACUUGGCCCGAAAGGUUGGGGAGGGGGGGCUUGCGCAGAGCCUCAGGGACCCUCCUCUCUGGGGACUACCAUCCCUGAGCCUUACGCUUCUUUCCACAGCCUUUGCAGGCGGAAUAUCGGAAUAAAGUGGGUC